Molecule: non-coding RNA, 108 nt
Organism: Acanthosepion pharaonis
Lineage: Eukaryota; Metazoa; Mollusca; Cephalopoda; Sepiida; Sepiidae
Source: the annotation of a GenBank genome assembly
GCCCUAUCACAUUGAAACACUUGUUCUCAUACGAUCACCAAAGUUAAGCAACAUUGAUUCUGACCAGUCCCUAGGUGGGUGACUGCUUGGGAAUACCAUCUACUGUAA